RNAcentral lists this ribosomal RNA (501 nucleotides) under uncultured bacterium. Its description in RNAcentral is "partial 16S ribosomal RNA". It matches the Rfam family "Bacterial small subunit ribosomal RNA", at positions 30 to 523 of the family's 1533-position model. The record is from RNAcentral.
AUUGAACGCUGGCGGCAUGCCUUACACAUGCAAGUCGAACGGCAGCACGGGUGCUUGCACCUGGUGGCGAGUGGCGAACGGGUGAGUAAUACAUCGGCACGUACCUUAUCGCAGGGGAUAACGCAGCGAAAGUUGCGCUAAUACCGCAUACGCCCUGAGGGGGAAAGCGGGGGACCGUAAGGCCUCGCGCGAUUAGAGCGGCCGAUGUCUGAUUAGCUUGUUGGUGAGGUAAAAGCUCACCAAGGCGAUGAUCAGUAGCUGGUCUGAGAGGACGAUCAGCCACACUGGGACUGAGACACGGCCCAGACUCCUACGGGAGGCAGCAGUGGGGAAUUUUGGACAAUGGGGGCAACCCUGAUCCAGCAAUGCCGCGUGAGUAAAGAAGGCCUUCGGGUUGUAAAGCUCUUUUGUCAGGGAAGAAACAGCAGCUCUAACACAGUCUGCGAAUGACGGUACCUGAAGAAUAAGCACCGGCUAACUACGUGCCAGCCGCCGCGGUAA